UACGGGGGGGGCAAGCGUUGUUCGGAAUUACUGGGCGUAAAGGGCUCGUAGGCGGCCAACUAAGUCAGACGUGAAAUCCCUCGGCUUAACCGGGGAACUGCGUCUGAUACUGGAUGGCUUGAGUUUGGGAGAGGGAAGCGGAAUUCCAGGUGUAGCGGUGAAAUGCGUAGAUAUGCGGAGGAACACCGAUGGCGAAGGCAAUCCCCUGGGCCUGCACUGACGCUCAUGCACGAAAGCGUGGGGAGCAAACAGG
RNAcentral lists this ribosomal RNA (253 nucleotides) under uncultured bacterium. Its description in RNAcentral is "partial 16S ribosomal RNA". It matches the Rfam family "Bacterial small subunit ribosomal RNA", at positions 524 to 776 of the family's 1533-position model. The record is from RNAcentral.